This is an RNA transcript of Cervus elaphus (red deer), 2269 nucleotides long. It is a transcript of the gene named alpha-1,6-mannosyl-glycoprotein 2-beta-N-acetylglucosaminyltransferase-like, with no coding region annotated. Lineage: Eukaryota; Metazoa; Chordata; Mammalia; Artiodactyla; Cervidae. The transcript has a single exon. The record is from RefSeq and is a predicted model, not a curated record.
AAACCUGCGGGUCCCCGUACCCCCGGGGCCGGGGAUGAGUUAGCGAGGGCAGCCGCGGGGGCCAGUUCCGACUGCUGCAGGCCACCGCCACGGUCGCCGCCCGCCCGCCCCUUCCCUGCCGGAGCUGCUAGCUCCUUUCCGCGCCCGGCCGCCCGCCCGCCCGCGCUCCCGGCCCCGGAGACCAUGAGGUUCCGCAUCUAUAAGCGGAAGGUGCUGAUCUUGAUGCUCGUGGUGGCCGCCUGCGGCUUCGUCCUCUGGAGCAGCAAUGGGCGACAAAGGAAGAACGAGGCCCUCGCCCCGCCGCUGCUGGACGUCGAUCCCGCGCGGGGUGCGGGCGCCCGGGCCGGGGACCAGCUCGCCGUGUCGGUGGGCAUCCGCCAGGGCUCCAACGAGUCGGCGGCUCCGCUGGUCGCCGCUGCCCCGCAGCCCGAGGUGGACAAUCUGACGCUGCGGUACCGGUCCCUGGUGUACCAGCUGAACUUUGACCAGACGCUGAGGAAUGUAGAUAAGGCCGGCUCCUGGACCCCCCCACCCCGAGAGCUGGCGCUGGUGGUCCAGGUGCACAACCGGCCCGAAUACCUCAAACUGCUGCUGGACUCACUUCGAAAAGCCCAGGGAAUUGACGACGUCCUCGUCAUCUUUAGCCAUGACUUCUGGUCGACCGAAAUCAAUCAGCUGAUUGCUGGGGUGGAUUUCUGUCCAGUUCUGCAGGUGUUCUUUCCUUUCAGCAUUCAGUUGUACCCUAACGAGUUCCCGGGCACUGACCCUAGAGAUUGCCCCAGAGACGUGGAGAAGAAUGCAGCUUUGCGGAUGGGAUGCAUUAAUGCUGAAUAGCCCGACUCCUUCGGCCAUUAUAGAGAGGCCAAGUUCUCCCAAACCAAACACCACUGGUGGUGGAAGCUGCAUUUUGUAUGGGAGAGGGUCAAAGUCCUUCGAGACUGUGCUGGCCUCAUACUUUUCCUAGAGGAGGAUCACUACUUAGCCCCAGACUUUUACCAUGUCUUCAAAAAGAUGUGGAAAUUAAAGCAGCUAGAGUGCCCCGAGUGUGAUGUUCUCUCCCUGGGGACCUAUACUGCCAUUCGAAAUUUCUAUGACGUGGCUGACAAGGUAGAUGUGAAAACGUGGAAAUCCACAGAGCACAAUAUGGGUCUGGCCCUGACCCGGGAAGCCUAUCAGAAGCUGAUUGAGUGCACAGACACUUUCUGUACUUAUGAUGAUUAUAACUGGGACUGGACCCUUCAAUAUUUGACUGUAUCUUGUCUUCCAAAAUUCUGGAAAGUGCUGGUUCCUCAAGUUCCUAGGAUUUUUCAUGCUGGAGACUGUGGUAUGCAUCACCAAAAAACUUGUAGACCAGCCACCCAGAGUGCCCAACUUGAGUCACUCUUAAAUAAUAACAAACAGUACCUGUUUCCAGAAACUCUAACUAUCAGUGAGAAGUUUAUGACAGCCCUUUCCCCACCUAGGAAAAAUGGAGGGUGGGGAGAUAUUAGGGACCAUGAACUCUGUAAAAGUUAUAGAAGACUGCAGUAAGAAAAAAAACAAAACAAAAUCAGAAUUAUAAAAGCAAAAGUAGUAACAGUCUUCUAUUUUUGAUAUUUGUUCAAAUAGGAUAUACAAUUGAAUAAAAAGGUUUAGGAACUGGUUUCUGCUUUACUACAACAACAAAAUUCUUGUAAAAGUUGUCCAAAUAUAGUCAUCUUUUCUGUUUAUGCCUAAGAUUUAAAAUGCAAGUUUUCAUUUUGAGAAUUGCGUUUUAAAGUUCAGUAUGUAUCUGCUAGAGGUAAAAUUAUCGUUAAUUGAUAAGAGAGAAGAGGGGAAACUAUUUAAAUUGCAUCUAUUAAUCUUUUUAUCUGGAACUUUGUACACCUUUCCACUUUCAAGACUUAUUUUAAGUACAGCAAAAUUUAUUUAAAAUCGUCAUAUCAGUAAAAAGUAUUACAGUGAAAUUAAGAGUAUUAAUGUACAAGCCCAGCUUCACUCUUGACACAGUAACUAGGAAGAGGUUGCUUCAGUGGUUUUAUAAUUAGAAAGUUAUGUUUGUUAAACACCCUGUCAGAACAGAGUCAUUUUCAGUAUUAAAGAUUCCUGUAUUAUUGUGUUAAGAAUUGCCUGUGCUCUGGAACCUGCAUAGAACAUACUUUCUUUUGGAAUGUAUUUGACUGAUAAGAAAGUUUAAACACUUUUCACCUCAAUGUAGAAAUACAGUGAUUUUUUUUUUUCUUUUAGUGCUGCCAAAAUAAAAUACUUGUUUUUGCAUUAAAAAAAAAAA